This 2360-nucleotide ribosomal RNA is filed under the name Cloacimonetes bacterium SCGC AAA252-E20. RNAcentral describes it as "bacterial LSU rRNA". The stretch from base 1066 to 2360 matches the Rfam family "Bacterial large subunit ribosomal RNA". Lineage: Bacteria; Pseudomonadati; Candidatus Cloacimonadota. The record is from RNAcentral.
GGAACUUACCCGACAAGGAAUUUCGCUACCUUAGGACAAUUAUAGUUAUUGCCGCCGUUUACCGGGGCUUCAUUUCUGACCUUCGCCAAUAUCGAAACGAUACGAGCUAAGCCAUCCAUUUAACCUUCCGGCACCGGGCAGGUGUCAGUCCAUAUACGUGGUAUUACUACUUUGCAUAGACCUGUGUUUUUGAUAAACAGUCGCUUGGGCCUCUUCACUGCGACCAUCGAAAGCUCGAAGAGCGAGUCCUUUCACCUUCAAUGGCACCCCUUCUUCCGAAGUUACGGGGCUAUUUUGCCGAGUUCCUUAACCAGAGUUAUCUCGAGCACCUUAGGAUACUCUCCUCGUCUACCUGAGUCGGUUUGCGGUACGGACCGAUAUAGAGUUAACGUUUAGAGAUUAUUUCUUGGCAGCUUUAUAGAGGAACUUCUGCCACUUAUGUGGCUCGUAUUCGCUUCUCGGUUAUAGAUGAGUGGAUUUUCCUGCUCAUCCAACCUACCAGCUUAAAACUGGGCGUCCAACACCAGUCUUCCUCGCAUAACUGCGUCAUCCCAUCACUGUCUAUAUCGGGUAGCAGAAUUUUGACUGCUUUCCCAUCGACUACGCCUUUCGGCCUCGCCUUAGGGUCCGACUAACCCUGAGCAGAUUAACUUUACUCAGGAAACCUUAGACUUACGGUGUCUCGGUUUCUCACCGAGAUUCUCACUACUCAUGCCGGCAUAAUCUCUUCUGAUAGCUCCAGCAUACCUUCCGGUACAUCUUCGCAGCCUUACAGAAUGCUCUUCUACCACUUUCCGAUUACUCGGAAAAUCCAUAGCUUCGGUAAUACACUUAGUCCCGAUCAUCUUCGGUGCAAAACCACUCGACCAGUGAGCUAUUACGCACUCUUUAAAUGAAUGGCUGCUUCUAAGCCAACAUCCUGGCUGUUUUUGCAAUUUAACAUCCUUUGUCACUCAGUGUAUAUUUAGGGACCUUAGCUGAUGGUCUGGGGUGUUUCCCUUUCGCCUACGGAGCUUAUCCCCCGCAGACUGACUCCCAUGCAUCAAUUAACGGCAUUCUUAGUUUGAGUGGGGUUGGUAGCCUUUUAGGGCCCCUAGCCCAAUCAGUGCUUUACCUCCGUUAAUCUAACAUGAGGCCCUGCCUAAACAGAUUUCGAAGAGAACCAGAUAUCUCUGAGUUUGUUUGGCCUUUCACCCCUACCCACAGCUCAUCCAAUGACUUUUCAACGUCAACUGGUUCGGUCCUCCAGCUUGUGUUACCAAGCCUUCAACCUGGCCAUGAGUAGAUCACUCAGUUUCGGGUCUACUCCUGACAACUUAACGCCCUAUUCAGACUCGCUUUCGCUUUGGCGAAGGUCAGAAAUGAAGCCCCGGUAAACGGCGGCAAUAACUAUAAUUGUCCUAAGGUAGCGAAAUUCCUUGUCGGGUAAGUUCCGACCUGCACGAAUGGUGUAACGACUUGGGCGCUGUCUCAACCAGGGACUCGGUGAAAUUGCAGUGGCGGUGAAGAUGCCGCCUACCCGCGAAAGGACGGAAAGACCCCGUGAACCUUUACUGCAUUUUGAUAUUGUAUUUUGGUGUUGUUUGUGUAGGAUAGGUGGGAGGCUUUGAAGCUUCGACGCUAGUCGAGGUGGAGCCAACGUUGAAAUACCACCCUAAUAAUAUUGGAAUACUAACUCGUGCCUUUAUGAGGUAUGAGGACAGUGUCUGAAGGGCAGUUUGACUGGGGCGGUCGCCUCCUAAAAUGUAACGGAGGCGUACAAAGGUUCCCUCAGCGUGAUUGGUAACCACGCGUAGAGUGUAAAGGCAUAAGGGAGCUUAACUGCAAGACCGACGGGUCAAGCAGAUGCGAAAGCAGGUCUUAGUGAUCCUAUCCCACCGCAUGGAAGGGGGAUAGCUCAACGGAUAAAAGGUACUCCGGGGAUAACAGGCUGAUAGCGCCCGAGCGUCCAUAGCGACGGCGCUGUUUGGCACCUCGAUGUCGGCUCAUCACAUCCUGGGGCUGAAGAAGGUCCCAAGGGUAUGGCUGUUCGCCAUUUAAAGUGGUACGCGAGCUGGGUUCAGAACGUCGUGAGACAGUUCGGUCCCUAUCCUUCGUGGGCGUGAGAUGUUUGAGGAGAUCCGCAUUUAGUACGAGAGGACCAAUGUGGACAGACCUCUGGUGUAACGGUUGUGACGCCAGUUGCAUUGCCGUAUAGCUAUGUCUGGAAUGGAUAACUGCUGAAAGCAUAUAAGCGGGAAGCCAACUCCAAGAUUAGACAUCUUUUAGACUCCUUGUAGACGACAAGGUUGAUAGGUUACAGGUGUAAGUACAGCAAUGUAUUUAGCCGAGUAAUACUAAUUAGUCGAAGCCUUACUUUU